UCUCUGUAUCCGCUAAUCAUGUUUCGCUUUGGGCGGGCUCGACACGCAACAUACCAUUAGAAAAAUACAUCCUGACUGGAAGUGUUUGACAUGAGGAUAGAGGCAACUGUCAGUCUGAGACGUCAAUAGAUUCACGAAGACGGAAACUGUACAAAAAUGUCAACAAAGGACGUAUUUGUCAGAUGCCGAAUCUGAUUUUGGGUAUUGUCGCGGCUGUCCAUUUCCAAACGGAAACCACAGCUAGCUUCUGUACUGGACAGCAAGCACCCGCUAGCCAGUUAGCUUAUUCUCGAUUCCAGGACACGUCUCUUCAUUUAAAAUACAAAACUGAAUGUUGUUUCAGUCAUGAGUCCAGCCGGGUGCUCACAUGUGAACGCUUAUAAGGUGGACAAUUGGAGGCAAAACCUACGAGUCAUAUAUCAAUGCUUUGUUUGGAGCGGGAGUGCUGAAGCGAGGAGACGAAAGGUGCUUCAGAAUGAUGUGAGAUGGACAGCAUUGGCCAAAUCAUGUAUAUGUCACAUGUGCGGCGCCCACCUGAACCGGCUCCACUCCUGUCUCUCCUGCGUCUUCUUCGGCUGCUUCACCAAGAAACACAUCCACGAGCACGCCAAAAACAAACGACACAAUCUAGCAAUAGACUUAUUAUAUGGUGGAAUAUAUUGUUUUGUGUGUCAAGACUACAUAUACGACAAAGAGAUGGAACAGAUUGCCAAAGAAGAACAGAGGAAAGCCUGGAAAUUGCAAGGUGUAGGGGAGAAAUACUCGACGUGGGAGCCUACGAAGCGAGAGUUGGAGUUAUUACGGCACAAUCCAAAGCGAAGGAAAAUCACUACAAACUGCACCAUCGGUUUACGAGGGUUGAUCAACCUGGGCAACACGUGCUUCAUGAACUGCAUCGUCCAGGCCCUCACCCACACCCCGCUGCUGCGUGACUUCUUCCUGUCCGACAGGCACAAGUGUGAGAUGCAGUCCAACUCCUGUCUGGUGUGUGAGAUGUCACAGCUCUUUCAGGAGUUCUACUCGGGCCACCGUUGGCCCCACAUUCCCUUCCGGCUGCUGCACCUGGUGUGGACUCACGCACGUCACUUAGCGGGCUACGAGCAACAGGAUGCCCACGAGUUCCUCAUCGCAGCGCUGGACGUGCUGCACCGCCACUGUAAAGGAGACACCGCCCGAGACGACAACGGGAAGAAGGCCAACAAUCCAAACCACUGUAGCUGCAUCAUUGACCAAAUUUUCACUGGCGGCCUCCAAUCAGACGUCACCUGUCAAGUCUGCCACGGUGUGUCCACCACGAUAGACCCAUUCUGGGACAUCAGUCUGGACCUGCCGGGCUCGUCCACUCCCUUCUGGCCCCUUAGCCCCGGGGGAGACGGCUCAACAGUCAACGGAGAGAGCCACCUUUCAGGGGCCACCACGCUCACAGACUGUCUACGCAGGUUCACUCGGCCUGAGCAUCUAGGAAGCAGUGCCAAAAUCAAAUGUGGCGGUUGCCAUAGUUACCAGGAGUCCACCAAACAGCUGACGAUGAAGAAGCUCCCCAUCGUGGCGUGUUUCCACCUCAAACGGUUUGAACACUCUGCCAAACUGAGGAGGAAGAUCACCACCUACGUCUCCUUCCCUCUAGAGCUGGACAUGACACCUUUCAUAGCUUCCAGUAAGGAGAGCAGGAUGAAUGGCCAGUAUCAACAGACAGUAGAAGUAUUAAACAACGACAAUAAGUAAGUAUGUUGAUGUUUAUUCUGUUAUGGUAAACAACGUAUCACCAGUAAACAGCACCAGAUCUGGCUUCAAGUAAGGUUGAAAUGCUGUUUAAACCUUUGAUCUGUCUGGGCUUGAUUGAGCUUUGCCUUGCACAAUGGAACCAAGAAAAUAGUUGAAAAGUGCAAACAUGUCCCACCUAGCACUCCAGACGAGCUAAAACAAACGCUGAAACAUGGCCCACCUAGCACUCCAGACGAGCUAAAACAAACGCUGAAACAUGUCCCACCUAGCACUCCAGACGAGCUAAAACAAACGCUGAAACAUGGCCCACCUAGCACUCCAGACGAGCUAAAACAAACGCUGAAACAUGGCCCACCUAGCACUCCAGACGAGCUAAAACAAACGCUGAAACAUGUCCCACCUAGCACUCCAGACGAGCUAAAACAAACGCUGAAACAUGGCCCACCUAGCACUCCAGACGAGCUAAAACAAACGCUGAAACAUGGCCCACCUAGCACUCCAGACGAGCUAAAACAAACGCUGAAACAUGGCCCACCUAGCACUCCAGACGAGCUAAAACAAACGCUGAAACAUGUCCCACCUAGCACUCCAGACGAGCUAAAACAACCGCUGAAACACGGCCCACCUAGCACUCCAGACGAGCUAAAACAACCGCUGAAACAUGGCCCACCUAGCACUCCAGACGAGCUAAAACAACCGCUGAAACAUGGCCCACCUAGCACUCCAGACGAGCUAAAACAAACGCUGAAACAUGGCCCACCUAGCACUCCAGACGAGCUAAAACAAACGCUGAAACAUGGCCCACCUAGCACUCCAGACGAGCUAAAACAAACGCUGAAACAUGGCCCACCUAGCACUCCAGACGAGCUAAAACAAACACUGAAACAUGUCCCACCUAGCACUCCAGACGAGCUAAAACAACCGCUGAAACAUGUCCCACCUAGCACUCCAGACGAGCUAAAACAACCGCUGAAAGGAUUUCACAUUUCCACUAGUAUUUGAAGCCUGGUCUGAAUAACACCUUAUUCUAAUGUUGAUGGGUUUCCAUGUCUGCCGUUUGUCAUUUAUUUGAGAACGAAAGCACAGAAAAAAUGCUAGAUUCAUCUCAUUGUUUCCAUUCUAGCGCAACAGCGAAUGCUAACGGCGUGGAGCUUCCUAGUCCGACUCCCAAAUGAAAUCAAUUUAAACACUAUUAAAUGUAGCUCCAUUAUUCUCCUCCAUGGCGGUUACACUGGCAUUCAUUAUCCCAGACAUUUACCAGGGUUAAAUGGAUCCGUGUUAUACAGGACCAUGUCUAGUUGGUACUUUGACUGGAGUACUAAGGACAAGAGUGUUCAUCACCAUGGUCCCUGUGACUGUUUUGAUGGAUUGGAUAUAGGCCAUUGACUGUCCCUCUGACUCGUUGACAUGGUCAGAGAAAUGGAUGUGUAAACUAAGAGGAAUAGGUGAAGCCAGAAUAAUCAGGUGAAGUUAAUAUAUACCACCAGCUGUGAUAUAAAGUACUUUAAGUCAGCCUCACUUCCUUCUCCACUGUCUCUCUGUGUGUGUGUUGUGGUGGACCAGGUAUUCUCUGUGUGUGUGUUGUGGUGGACCAGGUAUUCUCUGUGUGUGUGUUGUGGUGGACCAGGUAUUCUCUGUGUGUGUGUUGUGGUGGACCAGGUAUUCUCUGUUUAACUGUCCACUGUCGCUGUGUGUAUGUGUUGUGGUGGACCAGGUAUUCUCUGUUUAACUGUCCACUGUCUCUGUGUGUGUGUUGUGGUGGACCAGGUAUUCUCUGUAUAACUGUCCACUGUGUGUGUGUGUUGUAGAGGUCGACCCAUUAUGAUUUUUCAACGCCGAUGCCGAUUAUUGGAGGACCAAAAAAAGCUGAUGCCGAUUAAUCGGCCAAUUUAAAUAAUUAAUUAAAAAAAUAUAUAUAUAUAUAUAUAUAUAUAUAAGAAUUUUUUUAUUUGUAAUAAUGACAAUUACAACAAUACUGAAUGAACACUUAUUUUAACUUAAUACAAUACAUCAAUAAAAUCAAUUUAGCCUCAAAUAAAUAAUGAAACAUGUUCAAUUUGGUUUAAAUAAUGUAAAAACACAGUGUUGUAAGUAAAAGUGCAAUAUGUUCCUUGCUCAGAACAUGAGAACAUAUGAAAGCUGGUCGUUCCUUUUAACAUGAGUCUGAAAUAUUCCCAGGUAAGAAGGUUUAGGUUGUAGUUAUUAUAGGAAUUAUAGGACUAUUUCUCUUUAUACGAUUUGUAUUUCAUAUACCUUUGACUAUUGGAUGUUCUUAUAGGCACUUUAGUAUUGCCAGUGUAACAGUAUAGAUUCUGUCCCUCUCCUCGCUCCUCCCUGGGCUCGAACCAGGAACACAUCGACAACAGCCACCCUCGAAGCAGCGUUACCCAUGCAGAGCAAGGGGAACAACUACUCCAAGUCUCAGAGCGAGUGAAGUUUGAAACGCUAUUAGCGCACAUCGGUUACACCAGCCUAAUCUCGGUAGUUGAUAGGCUUGAAGUCAUCAACAGUGCUUGAAGUACAGCGACGAUCUGCUGGUAAAACGCUCAAAAGUGCCGUUUGAAUUAAUGUUUACGAGCCUGCUGCUUUCUACCACCGCUCAGUCAGACUGCUCUAUCAAAUCAUAGACUUAAUUAUAACAUAAUAACACACACAAAUACGAGCCUUGGGUCAUUAACAUGGUCGAAUCCGGAAACUAUCAUCAUACAGAACCGUUCUGUAUUUUAUCUAAUGGGUGGCAUCCCUAAGUCUAAAUAUUGCUGUUACAUUGCACAACCUUCAAUGUUAUGUCAUAAUUACGUAACAUUCUGGCAAAUUAGUUCGCAACGAGCCAGGCGGCCCAAACUGUUGCAUAUACCCUGACUCUGUUGCAAGAGAAGUGACAACAUUUUUCCAAGGUAAAUUAAAUUAAUGUUAGCAGGCAAUAUUAACUAAAUAUGCAGGUUUAAAAAUAUAUACUUGUGUAUUGAUUUUAAGAAAGGCAUUGAUGUUUAUGGUUAGGUACACGUUGGAACAACAACAGUCCUUUUUGUGAAUGCCACCGCAUCAAUUAUAUGCAACGCAGGACGCAGGACACACUAGAUAAACUAGUAAUAUCAACCAUGUGUAGUUAUAACUAGUGAUUAGUAUUGAUUGAUUCAUUGUUUUUUAUAAGAUAAGUUUAAUGCUAGCUCGCAACUUACCUUGGUUUGCUGCAUUCGCGUAACAGGCAGGUUCCUCGUGGAGUGCAAUGUAAUCAGGUUAGAGCGUCAGGUUGCAAGAUUGAAUCCCCGGGCUGACAAGGUAAAAAUCUGUUGUUCUGCCCCUGAACAAGGCAGUUAACCCACUGUUCCUAGGCCGUCAUUGAAAAUAAGAAUGUGUUCUUAACUGACUUGCCUAGUUAAAUAAAGAUUCAAUAAAGGUGUAAAUAAAAAGGAAAAUCGGUGUCCAAAAAUACAGAUUUCCGAAUGUUAAUUAAUCGGUCGACCUCUAGUGUGUUGUGGUGGAGCAGGUAUUCUCUGUUCAACUGUCUGUGUGUUGUGGUGGACCAGGUAUUCUCUGUUUAACUGUCUGUGUGUUGUGGUGGAGCAGGUAUUCUCUGUUUAACUGUCUGUGUGUUGUGGUGGAGCAGGUAUUCUCUGUUUAACUGUCUGUGUGUUGUGGUGGAGCAGGUAUUCUCUGUUCAACUGUCUGUGUGUUGUGGUGGAGCAGGUAUUCUCUGUUUAACUGUCUGUGUGUUGUGGUGGAGCAGGUAUUCUCUGUUUAACUGUCUGUGUGUUGUGGUGGAGCAGGCAUUCUCUGUUUAACUGUCUGUGUGUUGUGGUGGACCAGGUAUUCUCUGUUUAACUGUCUGUGUGUUGUGGUGGACCAGGUAUUCUCUGUUUAACUGUCUGUGUGUUGUGGUGGACCAGGUAUUCUCUGUUUAACUGUCUGUGUGUUGUGGUGGACCAGGUAUUCUCUGUUUAACUGUCUGUGUGUUGUGGUGGACCAGGUAUUCUCUGUUUAACUGUCUGUGUGUUGUGGUGGAGCAGGUAUUCUCUGUUUAACUGUCUGUGUGUUGUGGUGGAGCAGGUAUUCUCUGUUUGCGGUGGUGAACCACCAGGGCACCCUGGAGAGUGGUCACUACACCAGCUUCAUCCGCCAACACAAGGACCAGUGGUUCAAGUGUGACGACGCCAUCAUCACAAAGGCCAGCAUCAAGGACGUGUUGGACAGUGAAGGGUAUCUGCUGUUCUAUCACAAGCAGUUCCUGGAGUAUGAGUAGCCUUACCUUGUAGACCGCUGACUCUGUGGAGAACCAACCAACCCAACGCUCAAAGAGAUGAGGAACCAACCAAUGACUGUGGAACAGAGGACGAUAAAACACGAACACACAAACCUACCUGAAACUCUGACUAUACCAGUUACUACUACCCCCCCCUGACAGGGGUGACAGUCUAACAUAAACAAUGACUAAUAGUGAAAAAUCAUGCAAAACUUGUUCAAAAACAGCACUGAGCUCCCGGCAUCUACUUGACACAACUGAAUGGAGAAAGAGAAUGAGGAAAAAUGGAGUGGAGUGGGUGGGAAGGAGCCCUCCCUCUCUCUCCCUCACUCCGCCCCUUUUCUGACGUUGGGGCGGAGCCUUGUCGAGAGUGAUUGACAGUUCUGUGGAGAGGAAGUAGGAGGGAAGAGGGCACAGUGGGACUCAAACCCCCAAAACUACAGUAUUGAUUUGUGAAUUCUUGUUUCUUUCCUCAUGGUGCUCUCGUUUCCACUGAAAAGCAUUUACCAUACAGAGACGAUGGGAGGAGACUGUCCAACGUCUUCAUAUGCAUACACAACUGAAUGCAAAAAAGAUAUAUACUUCAACAACAGAACAAAGUAUGGUAUUAUUUAAAAUAAAAUAGCAAACAAGAUUUAGUUAUGAUUCUUAUCAUUUGAAUUUAGUUUUGGAAUAUGCUGUAUGAUCCUCUAGUACAUCUAUUUUUUUAAAGAGGAAAAGUGAGAGAACUGAGAGCACGAGACGCCAUCCUUGCUAGUUUCCUGGUAAGCGUAGCCAAACAUGAAAAAUGGACUUGGAGCAAACUGAACGUACCCAUGUUCAAACUAUUUUUUUUGUUGAUUAUUUUCUUGUUUCAUUUUGGUUGAGGGAAUAUCUAUUUUUUUAUUUAGCGACUCGUUCAUUGAAAUUCUUUGUACCAUUUCUUUCCAGUGUCCACGUUAAUCUCAUCGUUCUGUUUUGUUGCGGUGCAGUAAUGUCCCUUCCUUGCUGUCAUGGUACCUUCAGAAGACAUUAUUUCGAUGUAGUAUUCUUGAUCGUGGAAAGUGUUGUUGGGUAUAUAAUGAUGGUGGUGAUUUAAAUUGGCUCACUUUUGGCUGUUGACAUUUUUCAGCUACAGGUUUCUUGUGGCAUUAUGAAGUAGAGGCAAUGUAUUCUCUGUAGCUUGGUCCCAGAUCUGUUUGUGCUGUCUUGCUAAAACUCUUAUAGUAGCUGGCAAGCCAUCACAAACAGAUCUGGGACCAGGCCAUGGCUAUCAGACUGCUGUGGGUCUUUUUAAAAGACCUCUGCAACACAGUAGGGUGGAUACCUGGGGCAAAUCGCUUGCUAUUCCCCAUAUACUGCAGGGACAAAUGUAGUUCUCUAGGGAAUAGUGGGCCAUUUCACACAUACCUCUAGAGUCUGUCAACUAAAGCGAUGUGCUAACGUAAGCCUACUGCAACACAGCUGUGCAGGUCUAGGGCAAAACUGAAAUGGCUCACUAUUCCCUAUAUAGUGCACUACUUUUUAAUUCUGUCCAAUAGUUGUGCACUACAUAGGGAAUAGUGUGCCAUUUUGGACGUCUCUGUCUUAAUGUCGCCUUGGGCAAUAAUACCUCGACGCCUACACCUCUUCUGUUACAAGACUCUGUUGACUGAUUUGUGUACUGUUGUUGGGGGGGAUAAAUGGCGAUGAUGAAGGAUUGCACGUACAUGGUGGCGCUGUCUGUUUGCUGCACACUCUCCAGCUUUGAAUCCAUCAGUGUUCUCUUAAUAUCCACAACAACAACCACAUGUGGCUUGUUUAGACCAAGGUUGUGUUCAUUAGGCAACAAAUAGAGAACUCUCAAACGGGGAGGGACUGCUUGGGCUUGUCCAAUGAGAAACGCUCAUUUAAAUGUUCCGUGGCAAAACGUUUUAAAACGUUAUCCAUUGCGUUUCCUGAUGUGCACGACCCAAUGUGUCUUGUGGUAGGUUGCCUCUGCAGUGCAGUAACACAGUGCUCUAUCCUAUCAGUAUGCUGUCUGAAUUCUGAGUCUAAAAAGAAAGAACAUAAAUGUGUUGUUGGGUAUUUUAUGUUUGAAUAUCACUGUGUAUGUAAAGUUUUAAAAAAGAAAUGUGGGAACAUGUAUACCACAUUGAUACCGCAACACUUUGGGUCUGGUCCAGCUGCUCGGGAAACAAACAAACAAUACAAAUAAAUAAAACAUAUCUAUCCUCUGGUCUGGAACAGAUAGUCCAUUAUUGAACCCUGAGCCAGAACAGAGAAAUCACACGUUUAAAUGGUUGCACCACCAAGGCUUCCGAUGAGAAGAGCGCCACCCAGAGGUCAUUCAGGAACGCAGCCCUAAAGUGUAAGAAGGUGAGAGGAGAGACAUUGUCCGUUUCAGUGAUUAAACUCAACAAAACUCA
This is an RNA transcript of Oncorhynchus keta (chum salmon), 8355 nucleotides long. It is a transcript of the gene named ubiquitin carboxyl-terminal hydrolase 22-like, with no coding region annotated. The record is from RefSeq and is a predicted model, not a curated record. The transcript has 15 exons. Lineage: Eukaryota; Metazoa; Chordata; Actinopteri; Salmoniformes; Salmonidae.